AACCGGAAGUUGGUAACCGAUGAUACAAGUCCUGUUUUGAAAGUGGAGUGCCGCUGCCUGAACCAGUGCCUGAAUCAGUGACAGUGUUGGGGAAAGAGUCAAACUCACAAAGACUCAUCGCCGUUAAAUCGCAUUCUAUUGUGAAAUUAAUUUCAAGCGAGUAAUGAAUUAUGGCUCUUGGUAAAUCGGCGAAAAUCAUGCUUAGUUGGGCUGGCAUCAUUGUGAUAGGUGUUUCAUCAUUUGCCAUGGCCAAAGU
Lytechinus variegatus (green sea urchin) is the source of this 256-nucleotide long non-coding RNA. RefSeq lists it as uncharacterized. The record is from RefSeq and is a predicted model, not a curated record. The transcript is spliced from 2 exons. Lineage: Eukaryota; Metazoa; Echinodermata; Echinoidea; Temnopleuroida; Toxopneustidae.